UUUAUAGUAAGAGGAAAAUCCGUCGAUUUUAAAAAUCGUGAGGGUUCAA
This 49-nucleotide transfer RNA is filed under the name Bellendena montana. Its description in RNAcentral is "partial tRNA-Leu". The record is from RNAcentral. Lineage: Eukaryota; Viridiplantae; Streptophyta; Magnoliopsida; Proteales; Proteaceae.